Molecule: long non-coding RNA, 6774 nt
Organism: Leopardus geoffroyi (Geoffroy's cat)
Lineage: Eukaryota; Metazoa; Chordata; Mammalia; Carnivora; Felidae
Exons: 2
Source: RefSeq, a predicted model, not a curated record
UGCUUGCUCUCUGGCUCUCAAAAAAUGGAUGAAAAUGUUAAAAAAAAAAAAUUCAAAAGAGAAGAAAAGAAAUUGGAGAGAGAGCAGGAUUCAUGGGCAGUGGUGUAAGUGAGGAGCCAGAAUGGGGGAAACAGCACUAUUUCCGGAGUGGGUGGGGAGGAGAGGGGCUUGUGGUGGCUCAUAGGGGGAGCAUGGACACGUUAUAUGGAAGAAGCCAGACACAGAACAUAGCAUGUGAUUCCACGUAUAUAAAUGUCAAAAACAGGCGAAACUAACCCGUGGCGAUAGAGGUCAGCCUUGUGAAGAACAUUCCGUGUCUUCAUGUGGGUGAUUACAUGUAUGUGCGCAUAUAGACCGAUACGCUAAGAUCUGGGCGCCCUACUGUAAGUUACACCUAAACAACAGUCUUACCAAAAAAAAAAAAAAAAAAAAAAGAAGAUGGAAGUGUGGAAAGGAAAAAUAAUUUUCUUUUCCCUCUUCUGACUUCUCGGCUGAGACCCCUGUCAUAAAAGAUUAACAAGAGAAAAGAGUUUAAUAACAUGUUUACGUCGUGUGUACAUCAUGGGAGAUGCCCGGGGGGGGGGGGCAGUGACUCAUCCCCUGAGGUGGCUUAGAGCUCGGGCUUCAAUAGCUCUCGGGAGGGAAAGGGGAAGGCAGGCCUCGGAGGGGGAAGACGACGAUUUUUGAGGAAGGUGAAAGGGCCCUUGGAAGAACAGCUUGUGACAAAGCUUGUGAGCAUGUGGCGCCCCGCUUCUGGUCUCCUCUCCUGUGGUAAUGGCUGAAGACCCUCCCAGGGAGGGGAUCUGUGAUGGUCGAGUUCCUUUGGGAGCAUCUGUCUUGAGGCAGGAAGGGGGUUCAGAGAAAGGCUCUCCCUGCAUCUGCUGGUUUCCAAGUGCCUCCAGCCCGAAGGCAUCACUCUACCAGAGUGGCAUAUUUUUGGGUGGCGGGUUUUCUGCUACACUUCGGAAGGAAGAUGGAAGGAAGGGAGGAAGGAGGGAGGAAGACGGAGGGAAGAAGGAAGCCUGGAGCCUGUGGUGUCGGGAGAGGGUGGAUAUUCAAGGAAGAAUGAGGGCCGGUGUCGCUCACGCCGAGAGGUGCGGCCACGGGCUGGCUCUGUAGGGCGGCGUGCGCGUGACCGUGUCCUCGGAAGCCUCCCUGCCAGCCCUCCCGUGUUCACUAGCGUGUGUUCCUCGCGCUGUCGAAUGGGGGGCAUAGAACAGACCCUGACAUGGAAUCCGAGCAGGGAGGGGGCACGAUCCUCAGGUCACAGCCGUACCCGAGGAGUCUCCCGUGCUCUUGUCCGUAGCUCCCACCAGUGCGAACGGCCACGUCUGUGGCUCCCUGCGUGCCCUCCCCGCCGAAUCCCUGUGUUUAAAUUUGAUAACGUUUAAUUUAAAAAGGUGAUUAAUGACUGUAAUUUAAUUUAAAAGAACUGUCUUCUAUUUUAAUGUGUGGGUUUCCCAUAGAAACCACUUCAGCUUCGGCGGCCCUCCAUGGCGGCUUUAUUAAGGGAGCCAUCUGCAGGCUUUCCUGGCUUUCCUGACAAUCUGUCGUGCUGUUCCCCGCUUCCAGUGCAAACACUGUUCAUUGUGUGGGAGGCUCCAGCCGGCCGUCGGGAGGGGACAGUCUUCCCUCCCUGUGCGAGUAGCACAGCUGGGCUCUUUCUCUCCUGUUCUGUGGAUGCUGGGCCUUCACCGGGCAGGUAGGGGCAGAGCCCGAAGCUCGCCGCAUGGGCCUCCCCCGUGCCUCGGAUGCUGUGCGUGGGUCUGGCCCUCACUGAUGGCACCUAAACUUACCUAAGCCCACAGUGAAAAAUGGCUUUCUCAUCUCAGCUUUGUUUUCUCUGUCAGAUUCCUCACUUGCCCAGAGGCAGGGCCGACCCGUGGUGCCACGAGAACCGGAUUGGAUCUUCCCGAUGCUCCAGGGUCCUGUGAGGGCUGAGUCUUAACACAGUUCCUCCAGGAGGGAGGGGACUCUUGGCUCAGCCCCGAAUUAAUUCAUCUUCUAAAUGGAAAUGUCAAAGCCUGGCAAACAUUCCUGCUAAUGAUUCUGGUGAGGGGGUAUUCACGGGCAGCAAACAGUAGGCCACGUGAAAAUGGAUUUUGCCCGGGAAGCCGGGCUCUGUCUCUCUCAAGGGAGAAACCCUGAUAACCUAAUCUCAAUUCUGCAGCGGUUUCUGGAGGGCCGCCUAAGGAGUGGAAUUUUUUUUUCUUGUCAUUUCAUUAGUUCUGAAUAAGGGAAGGUGAUUCAGCUCCGGGCCCCGAGGGCAGGAAGCAGCAGCAGGGUCGCUUCAGGAGAAGGUUUCCGAGAAAGGGAGUCUCCACAUCCGAAGAAGCCGGUGAGAAACCAGGAGGGAGGGGUACCGAGUGGCCCAGCCAAGCGGGAGGACACCAGAGGGCCAUCUUCCCUCCGUGCCUGUCAUCCAAGGGGUGCACCGCCCGGUGGAUCCCCAGCGCCCCCAGGUCGCCUCUUGCCCCCUCCCCCCCCUCCUCCAUGGCAGAUGCCGUCUCCACCUUGCCUGGGACGAGCUAGGAAUUCUCCCACAGACCCUGGGAGCCAAGCACCCCUGACAAGCAGCCUGUCCCUUGGCAAUUACUAACCAGGUGUCUGUAGUUUGGUCAUUUCAAGAAUGUUAUAGACAUGGAAAUACAGUUGAUAAGCUUUCAAGAUUGGUUUUUUCACUAUGAAUACUGAAUACUCUUAGGCUUCUUCUAAAUUUUCAUGUAUCAAUGGUUCUUCUAUUUAUUAAGUAGUCAAUUUAGAGGGAAUGCAUGUGUGUGGGGGGAGGGGCAGAGGGAGAGAAUCCCAAGGAGGCUCCGCCCUUGCCAGUACCGAGUCCGAGACUCACAAACUGAGAUGGUGACCUGAGCCGAAAUCAAGAGUGAGGUGUUUAACCGCCUGAGCUACCCAGGUGCCCCAACAUCAUUUUUUAUUAAACAUAAAAAUUUCACCUUUUGGCUGUUGUUAGAGAAUCUAAGCAAUGGGUGGGUGGUUGCAGUAAAUGACCAACCCAAGAUUCCUUGGUGAAGGAUACUCGUCACGUUUCAGAUCAUAUACUGUUUAUAGUAUGCAGUUAAGUUUUCUAACUUGGGGGGAAGCCGACUUGGCUAUAUACGAAUCCUAAACUAUCCCACCUUUCUUGGUUACUUGCGCCACGAGGGCAGGGCCGGGUCAGUCUGGCCAUCGGAUUCCCUGCUGAUCCCGGCACAGCUCCUUGCAUGAGGCAGGUGGUGACCAACACCUGGUGCGUGGACAACUCCUUCGGAUGUGGUGCCACACACACGUCCCAGGUAGCCCGCUGGCUACCACUUGGAAGGUGCUGGCGGCAGAGGACGUUUUUAUCGCAGGGAGACGAGUCUAUAGAAUCAAGAGGACCCGCUUUGUCCAGACACCCGACUCAGGUUAACUGAACUAGUGUUCGGCAGUUGACAUGGUAAGAGAAUGCCGGCUUCUGGUUUCCUUGCUCCCAACCAGGUUUCCAAGUCAGCCCAGCCCGGUGUUGGCUAACUGGGCAUCACUGUGCGAGGCAGGCUCCGAGGACCUUUCCCGAGCGCUGUGGCCCGGUGGCUGUGUGAACAUCCAGAAUGAAGCGGGAAGAUCAGGUAUGAAGGCUUGGCUUUUUACUGAAAGGUUAUUUUUCCCACCUGGGACCAUUUCUUCUGGUACCCUCUGUGUUUGCCGUUCCUGUUGUGAGAUCUGGGGAAAGUAAACUGUGCCAGGAGUUGAAUUCUGCCUCUGGAGCCAGUUUUGUGUCAUCCCACUAAGAUGUUUAGCCAUCAGCACCGUGAUUAUGCGUAUUCAUCUCUGUGUCGAUGGGCGGCUCCCUAGGAAGAUCUAUUUUCAGGACCACGUGUUUACAUUGCUGAGGGACAGGAGGUGCAAGAUCAAAGCCCCGUGGCCGAGCGGGGCCUGCCGUGGGGUGGGGAAUGGGGACAGAGUGGAGAAUGCACUUGGCUAAUGACAGAAGUUGCUACGCUCCUUUUUGGGUGUAAUGGAAAUUGCCCAAAGGUUGGAAAAUGAGGGAGCAGCGUCGCCACACAAACAGGUUUAAACUGAACACUAGGGACGGAGGACACAUGUGCCUAUGACCAAAGGCGGCAGGAAGAGCAGGCAGUUGCCGGCUGCCGGUGCAGCUGCAGGAUGGUGUAAGGGCCUGGAAGCUUCUCUGCCCUGCGCUCUGGUUAUAGGGGCGGCGGGAGAGGGCACUUGUGCAUGAGAAGGGUCCCUUCACCUUUGUGAUUCUCUUCGCAGCCCUGUGCUGUCUUCUCUGGGUCUGAUUGCUUCCUGUGGUUUUUCCUUCUGCUGCUCUGAAAUGCUUGCUAUUCGUUUAACCUAGUUCAUCCUUUGUAUUAACGGCGACUAAACGGUCACUCUGGAGGCCGGAGGACCUGGCUUCCAGCCUUGGCUCAGCCACCUGCUAGUAGUGUGACCUGACUUCUCUGUUCCUCAAGUUGCCUUGUGUGUAGAAUGGAGAGAAUGGAGUUUAGGAUUGUCGGAAGAACUGAAUGAGUUAACACACGGAAAGCACGUGUCAUCUGAGGUGCCAGCUGUUACCGUGGAACAGCAAUUAGGAUUGGUUAAAAACCACCACCACAAAAACGUGUUCGCUUCAGUAAGCCACGGUCUCCUGAGGAUGUCACCCAGGGAUGCAGAAGUGAAACAAGCUGACGUUUCCAGAGACGGUGAGACUUUUUUCCGUUUGGGAUUCUCUUUAUUCUUUUGCCUUCUUUAUAUCAGAGCAUUAAGGGUUAUCGUAGGGAUUUAGUAACACACGUAGAGUAGAAAUUCAGGUUUCCUUUGGAAUAGGUGAACCGGUUAGCACAGAAAGUGUAACAUUAUGUAUGACCCCGUGAAGAGAGCAGGAGCUGCCUCUUUACAAAGAGUUACAUCUGUGUUUUUGGGAAAAAUGCCUGAGACCUUUCUGUGGUCCUCGAGGACUCUAGUCCUGGGCGUCCCAGGCCAAGGUGGCUUCUCCAGCAGGGACAGGCUUCCGUGCUGGCGACAGACGGGCAGCCUGCGGGCAGCGGCUUCCCCCACUCACUCCCGCAGCCAAGUAGGAGAUGGACACAGGCUCCCUGUUUCCCUUGCCCCUUGGCCGAUUCUCCGAAGAUUUACCCUCCUUCUCUCCUCCUCCCUCCCUGUUCCUAAAGCAUGUCUGUCUCCUAGUUUGAGUAGCAGAGGCGCAAGCUUUGAGGUUACAAAACAUGAAGUCCUGGCUGGUAUCGAAGUCUGGGAACACGGGCCACUUCCCAGUCUCCCAGCUCUUCUCCUCGCCCGCAGGGAACACUCCCGGCACGUGAGGGCCAGGGUGAUGGGACCGCGCUGGGCCACACAGGUGCCCCGCCGGCAGCUCUCCUUGCCCCAAGUCCUACAUGUCUGCUCUUCAGGCCUGUCAAGAACAGAAACAUGUUCUUGAACUCUGUUUCAGUGCCAGCUCUAAACUGGAAACCUAAUUCCUUCUAGAAGUUAUACCAACACCUCAGUGUGCUCAGAAUCAAAUGCAUCAUCAUUUCCCCCUUUGGGAUCCCCUUAUGUUAUUGAGAGGAAAAAAUCACAUUGUUCAGUGAGUUUGCUCAGAUGUGUCAGCCCUUCUGUCUCCGAAUCGGUGAGGUAAGUAAUCCCUACCCCACGGUAGCCCCUCAGGGGUUCGUGUCUGUGGGCGGUUGCGAACACAAGAUUCAGGGUCAGCGCGGAUGAAUGAGGGAACGAUGAAAACCCCAUCAUCUCCGUGCCUUUAAAAUGGAGGACGGUAUGGAAUGCUCCCGAUCUGACUUUUCAGAGAGAAAAAGUCGUAGCAGCCGGCGUAUGGUUGUGGCGUACAGAGGCUCUGGGUCCCUGCACAACACAGGGGGGCCGGUGACAGCCGGGGCCGCGGCGCCCUCCCGAGCGCGAGGCCUUCACAAGGGCUGAAGCGGGGCGGCGGUGAUGGGAGUCCGUCCGGCAGGUAGCCAGGAUCACCAGGGUUAUCCGGUGUUAAAUGUGAGAAAGCGUAGUCGUGAAAUAAAUGAAAAUGAAGCUACUUGCCUGUUAAGUGGGAGCAUAAAUGAGAAGUAAUUUCCUCUAACAUAACGAGAUGGGAGUUCGUUCCCACCAGGAUGGUUGUGUCCACAAGCGGUGGUCAGCUGAUGGCUGGACAGCGUGGAGACGAGCAGCACAAGCAAGAGUCAAGACACAGGAAACAUUUUGAUUAUUUUAUUUCAUAAUCUUCAAAAUCUUCUGCCAUGAGACAGGAAUGCAUGAUAGAAAUGGCUCAACAUCUUCACAUGAAACACUUGGAUUCAUUUUCAUUCACAAGUUUUUCUAAAAACAUCUACAAUUUCAUAAUCCCACCCACCUGCAACCAUUAUCACAGAUUUAAUUGACCAUUAAACAGUAGUUGCCAGCAAGAGAGCUGGAACGCUUCUGCGCAUUAGUAGUGUCUUUUGAAACUACCACCCAAGAGUAUCACCGUCAUAAAUCUCAUUGUACACAGCAACCGCAACGGUGACUGGUGUCCCAGGCACACUCCCUGCUGAUCGGAGAGAGCUGUAUCUCCCAGGUAAAGAAAUGCUUUUGCUUCUAGAACUACUUGUUCAUCUCAGUAUUUUUCUUGCAGGGAAGGAGCACAUGCUGAUCUUGAUGAUUCAGUUACGCUAAUAGGCAAGUAUAUAUGCCUGGCAUUUAUUGAUGCUCUCUGAUAAUUAUGUACAGAACAUACUGAAAAGUGGAUUGCUUGGAAUCUAGGUCUCUUCUUUUGAAGAGAACUCCUUUGAGGUUUUUUUUUUGAACUGUAAA